RNAcentral lists this ribosomal RNA (2924 nucleotides) under Campylobacter sp. RM9334. Its description in RNAcentral is "23S ribosomal RNA". It matches the Rfam family "Bacterial large subunit ribosomal RNA". RNAcentral also lists the same sequence under 1 other name. The record is from RNAcentral. Lineage: Bacteria; Pseudomonadati; Campylobacterota; Epsilonproteobacteria; Campylobacterales; Campylobacteraceae.
AAAGGUAAGCUAAUAAGAGCAAAUGGUGGAUGCCUUGGCAGACAAAGGCGAUGAAGGACGUACUAGACUGCGAUAAGCUACGAGGAGCCGUCAAGGGGCAUUAAUUCGUAGAUUUCCGAAUGGGGCAACCCAAUACAUAGAGAUAUGUAUUACCAUAUAUGGAGCGAACGUUGGGAAUUGAAACAUCUUAGUACCAACAGGAAAAGAAAUCAAUAGAGAUUACGCUAGUAGCGGCGAGCGAAAGCGUAAGAGGGCAAACCACUAGUUUACUAGUGGGGUUGUAGGACUGCAACAAAGACUAAGCAAAGAUAGUAGAACAAGUUGGAAAGCUUGAGCGUAGAGGGUGAUACUCCCGUACAUAAAAUCUUUACUUUACUUAGCAGUAUCCUGAGUAGGGCGAGACACGUGAAAUCUUGUCUGAAGCUGGGUCGACCACGAUCCAACCCUAAAUACUAAUGUCUGACCGAUAGUGUACAAGUACCGUGAGGGAAAGGUGAAAAGAACUGAGGUGAUCAGAGUGAAAUAGAACCUGAAACCAUUUGCUUACAAUCAUUCAGAGCCCUAUGUAGCAAUACAGGGUGAUGGACUGCCUUUUGCAUAAUGAGCCUGCGAGUUGUGGUGUCUGGCAAGGUUAAGCUAACGUGAAGCCGUAGCGAAAGCGAGUCUUAAUAGGGCGAUAAGUCAGAUGCUGCAGACCCGAAACGAAGUGAUCUAUCCAUGAGCAGGUUGAAGCUAGUGUAAGAACUAGUGGAGGACCCAACCGACGGCCAUUGAAACGGCUCCGGAUGACUUGUGGAUAGGGGUGAAAGGCCAAUCAAACUUCGUGAUAGCUGGUUCUCUCCGAAAUAUAUUUAGGUAUAGCGUUGUGUAGUAGCUAUAAGGGGUAGAGCACUGAAUGGGCUAGGGCAUACACCAAUGUACCAAACCCUAUCAAACUCCGAAUACUUAUAGUGUAAUCACAGCAGUCAGGCGGCGAGUGAUAAAAUCCGUCGUCGAGAGGGGAACAACCCAGACUACCAGCUAAGGUCCCUAAAUCUUAUUUGAGUGGAAAACGAUGUGAAGUUACUUUAACAACCAGGAGGUUGGCUUAGAAGCAGCCAUCCUUUAAAGAAAGCGUAAUAGCUCACUGGUCUAGUGAUUUUGCGCGGAAAAUAUAACGGGGCUAAAAUAAGUACCGAAGCUGUAGACCCAAGCCUAGCUUGGGUGGUAGGAGAGCGUUCUAUAGGCGUUGAAGAUGUACCGGUAAGGAGCGUUGGAGCGUAUAGAAGUGAGCAUGCAGGCAUGAGUAGCGAUAAUUAAUGUGAGAAUCAUUAACGCCGUAAACCCAAGGUUUCCUACGCGAUGCUCGUCAUCGUAGGGUUAGUCGGGUCCUAAGCAAAGUCCGAAAGGGGUAUGCGAUGGAAAAUUGGUUAAUAUUCCAAUACCAACAUUAUUGUGCGAUGGAAGGACGCUUAGGGCUAAGCAAGCUAGCGGAUGGAAGUGCUAGUCUAAGGUAGUAGGUUGUUAUACAGGCAAAUCCGUAUAACAUUAGACCGAGAACUGAAAGGCUUUCUGAAGUCUUCGGAUGGAAGGAAGAAUUGCUGAUGCCGUCGAGCCAAGAAAAGUUUCUAAGUUUAGAUAAUGUUGCCCGUACCGUAAACCGACACAGGUGGGUGGGAUGAGUAUUCUAAGGCGCGUGGAAGAACUCUCUUUAAGGAACUCUGCAAAAUAGCACCGUAUCUUCGGUAUAAGGUGUGGUUAGCCUUGUAUUAGAAUUUGACUUCGAAGGCAAGGAAACUUACAACAAAGAGUCCCUCCCGACUGUUUACCAAAAACACAGCACUCUGCUAACACGUAAGUGGAUGUAUAGGGUGUGACGCCUGCCCGGUGCUCGAAGGUUAAUUGAUGGGGUCAGCAGCAAUGCGAAGCUCUUGAUCGAAGCCCGAGUAAACGGCGGCCGUAACUAUAACGGUCCUAAGGUAGCGAAAUUCCUUGUCGGUUAAAUACCGACCUGCAUGAAUGGCGUAACGAGAUGGGAGCUGUCUCAAAGAGGGAUCCAGUGAAAUUGUAGUGGAGGUGAAAAUUCCUCCUACCCGCGGCAAGACGGAAAGACCCCGUGGACCUUUACUACAGCUUGACACUGCUACUUGGAUAAGAAUGUGCAGGAUAGGUGGGAGGCUUUGAGUUAUAGACGCCAGUUUAUAAUGAGCCAUCGUUGAGAUACCACUCUUUCUUAUUCGGGUAGCUAACUAGCGUGAGUUAUCCUCACGUAGGACAAUGUCUGGUGGGUAGUUUGACUGGGGCGGUCGCCUCCCAAAAAAUAACGGAGGCUUACAAAGGUUGGUUCAAAACGGUUGGAAAUCGUUUGUAGAGUAUAAAGGCAUAAACCAGCUUAACUGCAAGACAAACACGUCAAGCAGAGACGAAAGUCGGUCUUAGUGAUCCGGUGGUUCUGUGUGGAAGGGCCAUCGCUCAAAGGAUAAAAGGUACCCCGGGGAUAACAGGCUGAUCUCCCCCAAGAGCUCACAUCGACGGGGAGGUUUGGCACCUCGAUGUCGGCUCAUCGCAUCCUGGGGCUGGAGCAGGUCCCAAGGGUAUGGCUGUUCGCCAUUUAAAGCGGUACGCGAGCUGGGUUCAGAACGUCGUGAGACAGUUCGGUCCCUAUCUGCCGUGGGCGUAAGAAGAUUGAAGAGAUUUGACCCUAGUACGAGAGGACCGGGUUGAACGAACCACUGGUGUAGCUGUUGUUCUGCCAAGAGCAUCGCAGCGUAGCUAAGUUCGGAUGUGAUAAGAGCUGAAAGCAUCUAAGCUCGAAGCCAACUCUAAGAUGAAUCUUCUCUUAAGGUCGCAGCAAGACUAGCUGCUUGAUAGGUUGGGUGUGUAAGUGGUGAAAGCCAUUUAGCUGACCAAUACUAAUAGACCGUCCGCUUACUUUAAAUAAGCAU